Molecule: ribosomal RNA, 301 nt
Filed under: uncultured bacterium
Lineage: Bacteria
Description: partial 16S ribosomal RNA
Rfam family: Bacterial small subunit ribosomal RNA
Source: RNAcentral
CAGUAGCCGCGGGAAUACGUAGGGUGCAAGCGUUAAUCGGAAUUACUGGGCGUAAAGCGUGCGCAGGCGGUUCUAUAAGACAGAUGUGAAAUCCCCGGGCUCAACCUGGGAACUGCAUUUGUGACUGUAGAGCUGGAGUGCGGCAGAGGGGGAUGGAAUUCCGCGUGUAGCAGUGAAAUGCGUAGAUAUGCGGAGGAACACCGAUGGCGAAGGCAAUCCCCUGGGCCUGCACUGACGCUCAUGCACGAAAGCGAGGGGAGCAAACAGGAUUAGAUACCCCAGUAGUCCCUGUCUCUUAUAC